GACAUUGCACAUUGGGGGAAACCCUGAUGCCGCGACGCCUCGUGAGCGAAGUAGACCUUCGGGUCGUAAAGCCCGGUUUCGAGGGAAGAUAAUGACGGUACCCCGGGGGGAAGCCCCGGCUAACCACGCUCCAUCAGUCGCGGUAAUACGCAGGGGGCAAGCGUUGUCCGGAAUCACUGGGCGUAAAGGGUGCGUAGGCGGCCAAUAAAGUCAGAGGUGAAAGGCUACGGCUCAACCGUAGUAAGCCUUUGAAACUUAUUGGCUUGAGUGCAGGAGAGGAGAGUGGAAUUCCUAGUGUAGCGGUGAAAUGCGUAGAUAUUAGGUGGAACACCAGUGGUGAAGGCGACUCUCUGGACUGUAACUGACGCUGAGGCACGAAAGCGUGGGGAGCGAAC
This 395-nucleotide ribosomal RNA is filed under the name uncultured bacterium. Its description in RNAcentral is "partial 16S ribosomal RNA". It matches the Rfam family "Bacterial small subunit ribosomal RNA", at positions 359 to 773 of the family's 1533-position model. The record is from RNAcentral.